This 432-nucleotide unclassified non-coding RNA is filed under the name soil metagenome. RNAcentral describes it as "partial contains 5.8S ribosomal RNA, internal transcribed spacer 2, and large subunit ribosomal RNA". The stretch from base 1 to 120 matches the Rfam family "5.8S ribosomal RNA", at positions 35 to 154 of the family's 154-position model. The record is from RNAcentral.
GAUGAAGAACGUAGCGAAAUGCGAUACGUAAUGUGAAUUGCAGAAUUCAGUGAAUCAUCGAAUCUUUGAACGCACAUUGCGCUCUCUGGUAUUCCGGAGAGCAUGCUUGUUUGAGUAUCAGUAAACACCUCAACUUCCAUAUCUUUUUUGAAAUGGGAGUUGGACUUGAGUGAUCCCAACGCUUUUCCUCACCGAAAAGUGGCGGGUUACUUGAAAUGCAGGUGCAGCUGGACUUUUCUCUGAGCUAUAAGCAUAUCUAUUUAGUCUGCCUAAAAAACAGAUUAUUACCUUUGCUGCAGCUAACAUAAAGGAGAUUAGUUCUUGUGCUGACUGAUGCAGGAUUCACAAAGACAGGCUUCGGCCGACUUUGUAAACUCGAUCUCAAAUCAAGUAAGACUACCCGCUGAACUUAAGCAUACAAUAAGCGGAGGA